AACGAACGCUGGCGGCGUGGAUAAGACAUGCAAGUCGAACGGGAUAUUAUUUGUAGCAAUACAAAUGAUGUCUAGUGGCGUAAGGGUGCGUAACACGUGGGCAAUCUGCCGAGAAGUGGGGGAUAGCUCGCCGAAAGGCGAAUUAAUACCGCAUGUGGUUAAGGAUGACAUCUUCCUGACACCAAAGCCGGGGCAACCUGGCGCUUCUUGAUGAGCCCGCGGCCUAUCAGCUAGUUGGUGAGGUAACGGCUCACCAAGGCUAUGACGGGUAGCUGGUCUGAGAGGACGACCAGCCACACUGGAACUGAGACACGGUCCAGACACCUACGGGUGGCAGCAGUCGAGAAUUUUUCUCAAUGGGGGAAACCCUGAAGGAGCGACGCCGCGUGGAGGAUGAAGGUCUUCGGAUUGUAAACUCCUGUCAUUUGGGAACAAUUGUCACGCGUUAACUGCGCGGGGCUUGAUAGUACCAGAAGAGGAAGAGACGGCUAACUCUGUGCCAGCCGCCGC
This 510-nucleotide ribosomal RNA is filed under the name uncultured bacterium. RNAcentral describes it as "bacterial SSU rRNA". It matches the Rfam family "Bacterial small subunit ribosomal RNA", at positions 29 to 518 of the family's 1533-position model. The record is from RNAcentral.